CGCACCUCCUGUCUCCGGCUCCUGCCAUCGCUCACCUUUUGCUUCUCUCCCCGCUUCCGCCUCUGACUGGGACCCCCUUUUCCCGGCCGGUGCCCUGGCGGCUUCUCUCGGGAUCACCAGCUCCUCCGCGCCCCUGGGGCCUCCGCACCCUCGCGCUCCCACGGCCUUCCCUUCAGCUCUCUUGCCCGCCCCACGACUCAGGGGCCUCACCAGCCAGCCUCCACCCCUCAGCCGGCCUCCACGUGGGUGCUCAUGGGGGUCGAUGACCGGGAGCAGCAAGAAGGGGCAGAGGAGGGAAGGGGAGCAUAGGGUAAGAAGUGGGGAGUGGGGUGGCCUUGAUGCGCCCAGGCCUGACUUGGGUGAUGGUGGAAAUCAGUAGUCAGGAGUGAACGACUGGAAGAGCCCCAUUCUUCCCUACGCCCUUUAGGGGCCGGGCAGGGAGGACUGCCACAUUCGGGGUCAGGAGGUCCACGGAGUACCAGACGGACGUGAUGUCCUCAAGCUUUGCUGCUCUUCUGAGGGUCAGCCGGAAAGUAGGGUCCUUCCUGGGGAACCAGAGCGGGGCCAGUCCCCUCUAAGGAGGAAGGCAGAGCAAGCAAGACGAGCCAUUUUGUUUCUUGUGCGGAGCCAGCCUCCGUUGUCUCUCCUUCCUCUCCGCUCUCUUGCUUAUCCCUGCUUGGGCCUCAGCACGUGGAGCCUGCCAGACACCAGAUGCUCUGUGCUCAUGCAGAUUUCUGGGGGAAGAGGUUUCCUGACAAAGGGAGCAGCAAGGGCGACGGCCCUGAGAGCAUGUCUGGCAUGUUGCAGGAACGGUGAGGAGGCUGAUGCGGCCUGAGCACAGAGAGUAAGAAAAGAGACUAGGUGAUGGGUCGGAGAGGCAAGCGCAGCCAGACCGCGUAGGGACCAGUGAGUCCCAGGGAGGCCCAUGACUCACUGGAGGGUUUUGAGCGGGGGAAUGAAAUGAUCUGCCUUGUAUUUCUACAGAAAAUUCUUACUGUUCUGCUGAGACUAGACUGAGCAAACAAGUGCAGGAGCAGGGAGACCCGUUAGGAGCCUCUGGCCGCCACCGAUCAGAGAUGAUGGUGGCCUGGACCACUGACACGGCAGUGGAGGUGGUGACGACUAGUCACAUUCUGGUUAUACUUUGCAGAGAGAGCCAAGGAAUUUGCUGAUGGGCCAGAUGGAGGGUGUGAGAGAGAGAGAAUGGAGUCAGGGUGAGACCGGGGAUUUGGCCUGAGUGACUAGAACCAAGGAGUCACCACCAUGAACUGCCAUGGAGACAGCCUCUGGAGGAGCUGGCUUUGGGAGGGGUCAGUGUGGGAUAUGUUAGGUUUGAGAUGCUGAGUGGAGGUGUCUGGUAGGCAGAUGGAUACGCAGGGCUGGGGUUCAAUAGGGAGGGUCAGGCUGGAGACACAAAUUUGGGAGUCAUCACUGACACUGAACGAGAUGCCCUGAGGAGUGAACGCAGAUGGGAGAUAGAGGACAUCCAAUGACGAAGUCCAGGAUUUCAAUAUUUACAAGUUGUGGAAUUGCAAAAAAAAACAAAACAAAAAUCCGGCCCCCCCGCCCCCCGCCGAAAUCCUGAGACAGCACAGCAAGAAAGAUUUGGGGAUACAGGCCAUUCCUCACUGGCCUGUAUCCAGGUAGUCCCAGCGCACUCACUGGGUCGCGACUUUAUUCCCCUCCAAACUCCACACACCAGUCAGACAGGCCACCUGAUGCCACCCCUGCUCAAGGACCAAUGAGAGCUCCCAAAGCUCAGCAUCUGGUCUUAGAGCCAGGGAGAGAGAAUUGGGGUGAGAAAGGACUUGACCUCGGUUUGCCUUGACUGCUUUGCCAGUAGGGAAACUGAGGCCCUGAGGGACAGUGUUUCGUCUCAGGUCCCUGUGUCAGUGGGGGGCCAGGGCUCCUGAGACGUAGUUGAGCGCUCUCCUAUCACCCCACGCUGCCUUUUGGACCACUUCUCAACGAGAAGCAAAUGUUUACUGAGGCCCAAUUAUCCCUGCUCUGUGCAGAAUAGCAGUGGAGGACGCUGAGGGCCCCAGGAGAAACAGAUGAUGCAGUUUGUGCCCUCAAGAAGCUUGAACUAAGGAUCCCUGAAUAAUUUUCCUGUUCUUUUCCCAUCUCUUCACUUUCAUGCCUUAUGACUCCCCAACAUGAACUCUCUUCUUCCCCCACUUUAUGCCCUAGGUCUUUCCUUCCCUCCAACCCUGCUCCAACACUUUCUUCCAGAAGUGUCCCCAGAUCACCAUAGAUUACCCUAUCACCAGGUAGCUCGGGCCCCACACCUAAGGGUCCGUCAUCUUUAAUUCUCUUUCCCUCAUCUCUCAUACUCAGUCCAUAUGCAAGUUCUGUCAGCCUUAUCACCAAAUAUACCCCACAUCUGACCACAUCUCCCAGUCUUAGCCAGACACUCUUUGUCCCACCUGCACUGCUGACCACAGCAGCUCACUGACAGGCCUCCCUGCUUGUCCCCCUGCAGAUUCUCCACACAGCCGUCUCUCACCUACAGCCCCCACCCCAUCUCCUAAGUCUGUGUGCUGCUUACUAGUCCUGUGCCCUUCAAAACAGUCCCCCUGCCCAGUGUGACCUCUCUUCUCCCCUCUCAGCUCCUGGGGUAGAGGGUGUUGGAGGGCUAGGGCUGUCCUCCCCCUUCAGGAGAGCCCUUGAGGACCCCUGUUGUGGGAGGCCAUCUGCCUGCAGUUGGGAUGGGGGGUGUUGUAGUCAACGGAGAGGUCAAGAAGUAAGAUGGUGUGUGUCUCUGAAGUGGCCAGGAACAUUCAAGGAGUUUGUCUUAGACCCACUUUUCCUCAUUUCCAUCUUCUCUGUUUCUUCCUGUUCAGCAUUCUCCCUCGUUCUCAUAGCUCCUUCCCUUCUGUCUCACCAACUGACUCUCUUUCUUCGAAUUGGGGGAUGAGAAGGCUCCCUCAGGAACCCCAGGCUCUUGAGAGAUUCUCCUGUUGAAUGCACCCCUGUUCCUGACCCAGGGAGCUGGGCUGGAAUGACCAGAUGAGGAAACAUUGAUCUCAUCUUCUCCAGCUUGGGCGCCUGGCCUGGGUCUGAAUCACUCCCCAUUUUAUCCCCCGUGCCUAGCACAGCACUUUGCACCCAGUGGGUGCUUAUUAAAUAUUUAUUAAAAGGAUAAAGGAAUGACUGAAUUGAUGUCUUAGGCAUUCAGCUUCCCUGUUGGGCCCCUGGCCUGGCCUUUCUGGUGUUUUAAACGAGUGCUUUCAAACUUUAAUGUGUGCGCGAACCAUCUGGGGAUCUUGUUAAGCUGGAGAAUUGGAUUGACCAGAUCUAGGCUGGGGCCUGAAAGUUUGCAUUUCUAGCACGUUUCCAGGGAUGCUGAUGCUGCUGGUUCUCAGAUCACAUUUCGAGUAACAAGGCUGUAAGGGGAGGUGUCUCUCAGAUGGAAGGAACACCCCUCUAAAAUUAAAAAAGAGAAUGAUGAAGAUUGAGAAAGACUGGGAGAUAGAGAAAAAGGAGCCAAAGAAAGAAAGGAAGUCCACCACCACUGGUUUAAUGGCCCCAAAGCCUCUCGGAAGCCUGCAUCCCAACAGUGUCCAGAAGCCCAGGGGCACCGGCGGCAUCUCCCGGUCCCGCAUAGCCUCUGUCUCCUGGAGGCCCUGCCCCUGACUUGGAGUGGGGCUCUGGAGACAGCUGCCACCUUCGUGUCCCUGACUGUCUCCCACAGAAAAGAAAGCUGGGCAGAGAACAGGCUUGGGGUCUUUGUUCGAUUCCACAAACAUUACCCAGACUGCCUCUCAGUACUAGGCACACUGGGGAACAAGACCUGGGAGACCCAGCUUCAUGGGGAGGGAGACAACUUGCAUGAGCGAGAGAAGCUGAUUUGAAUUUGGCCUUGGAGGAUGAUGGGGGAGAGCUUUGUUGAGCAUCUGGGAGCCCCAGGAUGGAGAGGGUGGAGAGGGCACUCCGGGCCAAAUGGGCUGGAAGCACGUGGGUUCAGGGCAGGUUCCUUGAACCAUAAGGGGUCCAGCAGCAGCAGGGAGAGGGUGAGUGAUGGAGGAAGGAGCAGUUGCAGGGCUUCUUCUGGGUCUGCCCUGAGGGGGCUUUAAGUGCCCGUUUGUGGAAUCAGUACUUUGAUGUGAAUGCAGAUUUCUUCUAUAUGCAUCAGGGAACCAUGGAAGGGAGUUCCGUGAGAUGUGUAUAUUGGAAGCCGUGCUUCCAGGAAAGGCUUUGCCUUCUAUUGGUUUCCCUGGCCUACCGGGGAGGGACCCAUCUCUGUGUGUCCUCUUGUUAGUCUGUCUGCACUCACUGGAAGCUCCGUCAGACUUUGAAGGUGAGAGGGUGGUGCCUGGGUUUGGGAAGAGCUGGGGGUGGUCCCUCCCUUCCUCACCGUGGGAAUGAGCUAAUUUUGUGAUGUGGGAAGUUUUCUGAACUUCUGCCUUAACUCCAGGUUCUUUUAAACAGGAGCCCCCGAUGAGGACAGACUGUUUCAGGAAAGGGGGGGGGGAUAUCAGGUCAGUUUUUCAUGGCAGCUGAGCAAGUAACAGCAUGGCUGGUCCGUGCUGGUGAACACUUGGACCCACCCCCUCACCCAGGAAUGUGCUGUAGUCUCUUGUCUCAUCAACCACUCAAAACGCCCUCAGACUGUUUCAAGGCCUGGAGUGGGUGCCCCUGGGCAUGUCACCAGUGCCAUAUGCUUGGAGGCUUUCUUGCUUAGGAACCUCCCGCACUGGUCGGGCCAGGUGUCAGCCUUCCUAAGAACCAACUUGUAAGUUUCACAUGUAUGUAUUUCACACACAGGCAUAGAUAGGUGUAGGCCCCCCCCCUUUUUAAAGAUUUUAUUUAUUUGAGCGAGAGCGAGAGCACGAGCAGGAUGAAGGGCAGAGGGAGAAGCAGACUCGUUGCUGAGCACGGAGCCCGGGACUCCGGGAUCAUGACCUGACGGCUCAGGCAGGCACUUAACUGACUGAGCCACCCAGACGCCCCAUGGUGUGGGCCCUUUUUUGCUGGCUGCUGGGGAAGGGGAAGCAUUUUUGUGAUUGUGGGAGGGAGCCCCACCCCUGCACAUCUGGAGUUUUCCUUAACAGGGAUCCAGGUUUUUCCUCCCUGGAUGUCCCUGCCCUCUGUCACUUUCUAACUUAUGCUCCUUCCUCCCUCAGGCUGGAAAUUAUGCCAACAGGGAGGCGGAUUUUGUUUCCAUGGGGGGUGUUAUUUUCAUCUGAGUUAUUCUGGAUCCCCAGGCUGAUAUGCCACUGAGCAGAAGCAGCCAGGAGCAGCCAUCACCAGCAUCACAUGGAAGCUUCUUGGCAGCCCCAGAUUCCUCCAAAGGUCAUUUGGUGCCUUCUUUCUCUGCAUGAGAUCGGACCUAACCUAGCCUCAAGAGCGUACUCUAUGUGACAGUACUACUAACAGCCCGUGUCACCUCAGGUCCUCACCGCAGAAACUGCAAGGCAGCUACUAUUCUCAUCCACAUUUCACAUGCGAGGAAACUGAGGCACAGGGAAGGAAAGCUUAGUUCACUGUUUAGGAUGAAAAAUAGCCACCAGAUGGAGAAGGAAGGACCAUGAAGGAUGAUAAAGAAGACGCUGCCGGUGUGGCUGCAGACAAGGGCUCAGAAGGGGCACACCGACUCCGAGCAGUCGCCCUGCAGGGAGAGCCGCUCCAGCCAACGGGUGUCCCUCACUCCUCCUUCGGGAUUGUCCUCAGGGUGUGAGACUCAGUUUCUCCAUUGUCCUAUUGGUGACGGAUCUUUAUCCUUUGCUUUUGGGGGAUCAGUCAAAAAAUAAUUCAUAGGUAAUAAGGGUUGUCUUG
Ailuropoda melanoleuca (giant panda) is the source of this 5778-nucleotide long non-coding RNA. RefSeq lists it as uncharacterized. The transcript has 3 exons. Lineage: Eukaryota; Metazoa; Chordata; Mammalia; Carnivora; Ursidae. The record is from RefSeq and is a predicted model, not a curated record.